AGCUCGCGGUUUUCGUCGAUCUGAGUACUAGGCUUUACAAAUAGUUUCGUUUGUUGCAAUUGGAGUCGAUAAUGGGAGGGACUUUAUCGAUAGGUUAGGUCGAUAGGGCGAUAUCCCCGAAUCCCGGUUCGCUCUGGGAUUACCUUAAAUGGAUGAUGACCCAAUUUUGAGAGAGGCUAUGUAAUAUGGCGGGGGUAGGAACGAUGAUCAGCAGAUAUAUAGAUAGUCGCAGCCAUAUUUUGUGCUUAAAAUUAAAUAAUAGCAGCCGGGGUCCCAACACAAAGGGCCCCGGAAUAUUUACGUUGGAGUUCUACUGAUAUCUGCGCGACUUCGGCAUAGCUACCAGCUCGACUUGGCUGCCAACCGUUGUCCGUUCGACCCGCGCAGACACCCAACAAUAAACACAUUUCGCAGUCAACGCCGACGACGUAAAGGAUUUCCCGGUGAGUCCGUUCAGGUCUACCACGUCCACCUCAUCUCGGUGACUUCCAGCCGUCGCAUCGUGGCGUUGAGACGUACCGCCAUUUUGUAUGGCAGCCGAAUCUCGGACUACCCUUGCGCAACUCACCGCAGUGCGCCAGUUACCUUCUUGGAGAAGUCUUCAGCCCGGGCUAUCAUCGCCUUCAGCCCCGUCCCAAUAGUGGUUGAAAUUUAGAAAAAAUUUAAAUACACGUGUACCUUGAUUAUA
Drosophila suzukii is the source of this 688-nucleotide non-coding RNA. NCBI's taxonomy places the organism in Eukaryota, Metazoa, Arthropoda, Insecta, Diptera, Drosophilidae. The record is from RefSeq and is a predicted model, not a curated record.